AUCACUUCUCGGCCCUUUUGGCUAAGAUCAAGUGUAGUCUGGAGCCAGGGCUUGCUCCGUCCACUCCACGCAUCGGCCUGGUAUUGCAGUGUCGCCAGGAACGGUGUGCUUCCC
This is a small nuclear RNA of Sinocyclocheilus rhinocerous, 114 nucleotides long. Its record names the gene U2. It matches the Rfam family "U2 spliceosomal RNA". Rfam says of the family: U2 is a small nuclear RNA (snRNA) component of the spliceosome (involved in pre-mRNA splicing). The record is from Ensembl. Lineage: Eukaryota; Metazoa; Chordata; Actinopteri; Cypriniformes; Cyprinidae.